Molecule: ribosomal RNA, 545 nt
Filed under: uncultured bacterium
Lineage: Bacteria
Description: bacterial SSU rRNA
Rfam family: Bacterial small subunit ribosomal RNA
Source: RNAcentral
GGAAUUUUCCGCAAUGGGCGAAAGCCUGACGGAGCAACGCCGCGUGAGGGAUGAAGGCCUCUGGGCUGUAAACCUCUUUUCUCAAGGAAGAAGAACUGACGGUACUUGAGGAAUAAGCCACGGCUAAUUCCGUGCCAGCAGCCGCGGUAAUACGGGAGUGGCAAGCGUUAUCCGGAAUUAUUGGGCGUAAAGCGUCCGCAGGCGGCCUCGUAAGUCUGUCGUUAAAGCGUGGAGCUUAACUCCAUUUCAGCGAUGGAAACUGUGAGGCUUGAGUGUGGUAGGGGCAGAGGGAAUUCCCGGUGUAGCGGUGAAAUGCGUAGAUAUCGGGAAGAACACCAGUGGCGAAGGCGCUCUGCUGGGCCAUAACUGACGCUCAUGGACGAAAGCCAGGGGAGCGAAAGGGAUUAGAUACCCCUGUAGUCCUGGCCGUAAACGAUGAACACUAGGUGUCGGGGGAAUCGACCCCCUCGGUGUCGUAGCCAACGCGUUAAGUGUUCCGCCUGGGGAGUACGCACGCAAGUGUGAAACUCAAAUGAAUUGACGGA